Molecule: ribosomal RNA, 709 nt
Filed under: uncultured bacterium
Lineage: Bacteria
Description: bacterial SSU rRNA
Rfam family: Bacterial small subunit ribosomal RNA
Source: RNAcentral
GCGAAGCUUUUUGGUAGUUUACUACUAGAAAUGACUGAGCGGCGAACGGGUGAGUAACGCGUGAGCAAUCUACCUUAGUUACUGGGAUAGCCCGAGGAAACUCGGAUUAAUACCGGAUAUUCUUAUUUUUUCACAUGAAGUUUUAAGGAAAGGUCAGCCGAACUAAGAUGAGCUCGCGUUCUAUCAGCUAGUUGGUGGGGUAAAAGCCUACCAAGGCUACGACGGAUAGCUGGUCUGAGAGGACGAUCAGCCACACUGGGACUGAGACACGGCCCAGACUCCUACGGGAGGCUGCAGCAGGGAAUAUUGUGCAAUGAGCGAAAGCUUGACACAGCGACACCGCGUGUGGGAUGACGGUUCUAGGAUUGUAAACCACUUUCAGGAGGGAAGAAAAUGACGGUACCUCCACAAGAAGACCCGGCCAACUAUGUGCCAGCAGCCGCGGUAAUACAUAGGGGUCAAGCGUUGUCCGGAUUUAUUGGGCGUAAAGAGCUCGUAGGCGGUUCAACAAGUCGGUCGUAAAAGUUUAGGGCUCAACCCUAAAAUGUCGAUCGAUACUGUUGUGACUAGGAUACGGUAGAGGUGAAUGGAAUUCCGAGUGUAGCGGUGAAAUGCGUAGAUAUUCGGAGGAACACCAAUUGCGAAGGCAGUUCACUGGACCGUGAUCGACGCUGAGGGGCGAAAGCUAGGGGAGCAAACAGGAUUAGAU